CGGUAAUUCCAGCUCCAACAGUGUAUAUUAACACUGCUGCGGUUGAAACGCUCGUAGUUGGGAAUUUGUUGUAUAUUAUUGGUCUAUCCUAGUGGUCAGUACUGUAUAUGAAAGCAGCAUCGUCUUGAUUAUCUUUCUACACUUAACUGUGUAUUAUGUUGAAUCAAUCCGUAUACUUUGAAGAAAUGAGAGUGUUUCAAGCAACUUUAUUCAAGGAUAUAUUAGCAUGGAAUAAUACAUUACGACCUCAUAUUGUGUCUGUUGGUUGUCGAGAUCGGGUAACAAGGAGGGGGACAAUUGGUGGUAUGUAUAUUGCACAGUCAGAGGUGAAAUUCUUGGAUUUUUGCAAGAUGAUCGAUUGCGAAAGCAUUUGUCAAGAGUGUUUUUAUUGACCAAGAACGAAAGUUAAGGGAUCGAAGACGAUCAGAUACCGUUGUAGUCUUAAUCGUAAACCAUGUCGCCUAGAAAUUGGCGGGUAUAUAUUAUCAUCCCGUCAGCAACUUGAGAGAAAUCACAGUUUUUGGAUUCCGGGGGGAGUAUGAUCACAAGAUUGAAACUUAAAGGAAUUGACGGAAAGGCACCACCAGGAGUGGAGCGUGCGGCUUAAUUCGACUCAACACUGGAAAAUUUAUCAGGUCCGAACAUAGAAACGAUUGACAGAUUGAUUGGCUUUUCUUCAUUCUGUGGGUGGUGGUGCAUGGCCGUUCUUAGUUGGUGGAGUGAUUUGUCUGGUUAAUUUCGAUAACGAUCGAGAUCUUGACCUGCUAAAUAGAUGCAAGAUGUAUAUAUAAUCGUGUGAACUUCUUAGAGGAAAUAUUUGUGUAAAGCAGAAGGAAGAUUAAGGUAAUAACAGGUCUGUGAUGCCCUUAGAUGUCUUGAGCUGCACGCGCGCUACACUGAAGCACUUCACAAGGAAUUCAUCUGGUUUGAAAGGAGUGGGAAAUCUUAUCUCUGUGCAUCGUGAUGGGGCUUGUUUAUUGUAAUUAUUGAACAUUAACGAGGAAUCCCUAGUAAGUAUAUAUCAUCAGUCUGUUCUGAUUAAGUCCCUGCCCUUUGUACACACCGCCCGUCGCUCCUACCGAUCGAGGGAUCCGGUGAAUACUUAAGACAUUGAGAAGCAAUCGAAAGAUUACUCUCAUAGAAAUGUGAGUGAGUCUUAUCACUUAGAGGAAGGAGAAGUCGUAACAAGGUAGCCG
This 1196-nucleotide ribosomal RNA is filed under the name uncultured eukaryote. RNAcentral describes it as "bacterial SSU rRNA". It matches the Rfam family "Eukaryotic small subunit ribosomal RNA", at positions 577 to 1805 of the family's 1831-position model. The record is from RNAcentral.